Molecule: long non-coding RNA, 566 nt
Organism: Cucurbita maxima (winter squash)
Lineage: Eukaryota; Viridiplantae; Streptophyta; Magnoliopsida; Cucurbitales; Cucurbitaceae
Exons: 2
Source: RefSeq, a predicted model, not a curated record
UCCAUAAAUAAUGUAAUCCAUUUAUCGCGAGGAAAAUGUAUUACCCGCCGGCGCCGCCCACGAGCCAAGUAAUUGCACCACACAACAAUCAUUUUUCAGCUUCCAUUUUUGGUUCUGCGAUUAAAGAAGAGCAAAUCGGACGCCCAUUUUGUGUGAUCUUGAAAAGAAAUCAUGGGUUCGAAUCAAAACCCUACCUCUGGUUUAGCUUCCUUUGCAGUUCGAUCAAAAUGGCUGUUGUCCGCUCACUUUCCAUGCCAGGGUUGGCGUUCACUUCUCAAUCCGCUGGCUACAAGCUCAGUGACUUGGUCUUGGUGUAUAAAGCUUCUCUGUGUUCUCAUCUGGGCAACGCCCGAAUUCUAGAUAGGAACAAACCUAGAUGCCAUAAUCCCUAAUUAAUCUCCGAUGAGUAUUGCAGAGAGCGAUCUGCGAGAAAUUCUGAGUUCAAUCGUAAGAAUUUGGGGUUAUCCAGAAGGCUUUUCUGGGGCGAGUUUGAGGACUGAAAAGUUCGAGUAGCUGCAGAUAUUGGCUAUAUUUGGAUGCAACUGUUCUAGCUAGAUGCUGAAGUG